RNAcentral lists this ribosomal RNA (91 nucleotides) under Amaricoccus solimangrovi. RNAcentral describes it as "Amaricoccus sp. HB172011 partial 16S ribosomal RNA". It matches the Rfam family "Bacterial small subunit ribosomal RNA", at positions 1451 to 1533 of the family's 1533-position model. Lineage: Bacteria; Pseudomonadati; Pseudomonadota; Alphaproteobacteria; Rhodobacterales; Paracoccaceae. RNAcentral also lists the same sequence under 1 other name. The record is from RNAcentral.
AGCCGUCUAGGGUAAAACUGGUAACUGGGGCUAAGUCGUAACAAGGUAGCCGUACCGGAAGGUGCGGCUGGAUCACCUCCUUUCUAGGGAA